GUAGGUGGCAAGCGUUGUCCGGAAUUAUUGGGCGUAAAGCGCGCGCAGGUGGGUUCUUUAAGUCUGAUGUGAAAGCCCCCGGGCUCAACCGGGGAGGGUCAUUGGAAACUGGGGAACUUGAGUGCAGGAGAGGAAAGUGGAAUUCCACGUGUAGCGGUGAAAUGCGUAGAUAUGUGGAGGAACACCAGUGGCGAAGGCGACUUUCUGGCCUGUAACUGACACUGAGGCGCGAAAGCGUGGGGAGCAAACAGGAUUAGAUACCCUGGUAGUCCACGCCGUAAACGAUGAGUGCUAACGUGUGGGGGUUCCGCCCUCAGUGCUGCAGCUAACGCAUUAAGCACUCCGCCUGGGGAGUACGGUCGCAAGACUG
This 370-nucleotide ribosomal RNA is filed under the name uncultured organism. RNAcentral describes it as "partial 16S ribosomal RNA". It matches the Rfam family "Bacterial small subunit ribosomal RNA", at positions 527 to 896 of the family's 1533-position model. The record is from RNAcentral.